Molecule: ribosomal RNA, 211 nt
Filed under: Clostridioides difficile
Lineage: Bacteria; Bacillati; Bacillota; Clostridia; Peptostreptococcales; Peptostreptococcaceae
Description: partial 23S ribosomal RNA
Rfam family: Bacterial large subunit ribosomal RNA
Source: RNAcentral
GGGAGUGAAAUAGAACCUGAAACCCUGCACUUACAAGCUGUGGAAGCACAUUUCUUGUGUGACCGCGUACUUUUUGUAGAACGGGCCAACGAGUUACGUUAAGUAGCAAGGUUAAGCACUUAAGGUGUGGAGCCGUAGCGAAAGCGAGUUUUAACUGAGCGUUCAGUUACUUGACGUAGACCCGAAACCGGGCGACCUACCCAUGAGCAGG